GAUCCCAUAGUUAAAAGGAUAUAAUGGGGCCUUCCUAAGGCCUAGUUAGGGGUUCGAGUCCCUUUGGGAUCACCA
RNAcentral lists this transfer RNA (75 nucleotides) under Oligoflexia bacterium. RNAcentral describes it as "tRNA-Arg". It matches the Rfam family "tRNA". From Rfam's summary of the family: Transfer RNA (tRNA) molecules are approximately 80 nucleotides in length. Their secondary structure includes four short double-helical elements and three loops (D, anti-codon, and T loops). Lineage: Bacteria; Pseudomonadati; Bdellovibrionota; Oligoflexia. The record is from RNAcentral.